RNAcentral lists this long non-coding RNA (5905 nucleotides) under Homo sapiens (human). Its description in RNAcentral is "HSALNT0143079". The record is from RNAcentral. Lineage: Eukaryota; Metazoa; Chordata; Mammalia; Primates; Hominidae.
GUCCACCUCACAGAUGUCACCCUUAUUGCUUGCAUUCCAACUAUUUAAGAGCUAACCCGUUGUGCUAGUUUGAGAUGACUGUUGCUUAAAGUGUGGGGUGCAUUUCACUGUGAUAAGCAGGAUGCUUUGAAAUGUCAUGUAGACAAACAUUUUUAUUAAUAAUUAGGUAUUUUUCACUGUGCAUUUAAACAAGGUUCAUUUGGAAAAGUAAAUAAAAAUGGACUCAACUAAAGUGUAUGAAGCAAGUAUUAAUACAGGUGUUAGAAGGAUAUGACAAAAUCAUGCAGGUGAUACAUCAAUGAGUAUAGAUUAGGAUAUACUCCUAGAAUAUAAGUCCAUAACUUGUUAAGCAAAACUCAUGGGGCCAGAUGAGUUUCAUAAUUCAGAAUAUCUCAUGCAGUAUUUGACACCCCCAGAGGUAACUGAGACAACAUUCUCAAGUCAAACACGUUAUUAUUUCUGCAGUAAAACUGAUGAAUAUUCAUCAUAAGUGGGAUAAAGUCUAUAAAUGGACUCAUCAAUUCAGUACAAGUUUUGCAGCCAAAUGAAUUACAAAAAAAUAUUGUUUCUCAGAUGCUUUUGCAUUUUGGAAUUGUAGAUAAGAGAGAUUUUGUUGUCGUUGUUUUGGUUUUUGAGACAAGGUCUGGCUCUAUCACCCAGGCUGGAGUACAGUGGUGCCAUCUUGGCUCACAGCAACCUCCGCCUCCUGGGCUCAAGCGAUCCUCCCACCUCAGCCUCCCAAGCAGCUGGGACUACAGGUGUGCCCCACCACACCCGGCUAAUUUUUGUAUUUUUUGUAGAACAGGUUUUCACCAUGUUGCCUAGGCUGAUCUCAAACUUGAGAUCUCAAGUGAUCCACCCACCUUGACUUCCCAAGGUGCUAGGAUUACAGGUGUGAGCCACUGCACCUGGCCAGAUAACAGAUUUUUAACCUGUAGUAAAAUAGGCCAAGAGGAAAAACAAGCAAAUUCAAGAACCUUAGGCCUGAGCCAUACUGUAUAGUAUGGCUAUACCCCCAAACAUUCUCCCUCUCAUCAUCUGAUUUGUGAGGUAGGUCCUCCAUAUUACAGAUGAGGAAUUUGAGGCUUACAGAGGGUAGGUGACUUAGCCAAGAUCACACAGCUGGUAACCAACAGGGCCAGAAUUAGGAUCCAAGAUUAGAAUCCAAGUCCUGUGCCUCCAGAUAUUUGAUCUUUUUAUACUGUAAUCCAUACAUCAUAUAAGGCCUGAAGAGGCAGAGGCUGAAUUCUUGAACAUGUUCCCUGAGUGCAGAUAUGCUUUCCCCCAGGAAGGUGUCUUACCUGACUCUGUCAUUUCCACCGAGGGGGGCUCUGGAGGGGAAGGAUGGGAGUGGAAGAUAUAACCUUGGCCUUUUAAUGUUGAGCUACGGAUGUAUCCAAGGUGCUUGGAUCAAUCUCUUCAGACAGUGCAUGAAACCCAACUGAAAUGCUUGUGACAGUCCAGUGGUAUUUCAGGGAACCAUUGCCUGUUUCUUCCAGAAAUUCUAAUAAGAAUGGACAUUUAUUGAGCACCUGCUAUAUGCCAGACAUUCCUUCCUCUAACAGUUUAGGGGUGUUCUUACCAUUUCCCUCCCCCAGAUAGAGAAAUGGGAGUUCAGAGACACAGCCAAGAUUACAUUGCUGGUAAGUGACAAGUAAGAGUUAGGCCAGGUUUGAUUCUGUUCAAGGACCACACUCUUACCCACUACCCUCAAAGAGCAGCGGCAGAGCCCUUGAUUUCUGAUCCACCCAUGGGAGGGACGCCUUUUCCCCUGUCACCAGGGUACAGCCAGUUUCUGCAUUUUGCAUGCUUGUGUUCCAGAAAUUCAAGUGCAAGUUGAUCCAACCUCCUAAGUUUGAUGGCAUGGACCUUAGCAUUAGGGAAGUAUGCAGGAGCUGGCUGUAUUCAGGAAGCCACCAUAGAUGCAUAUGGCUGGAAUAUUAAAUGAGGGCGGGGUUUGGGGAAGAACUGGGGGCAAUUGUUAAAUCAGAAAGAGCCUUGUUGUUCUUGCUUAGGAGACAUCAAUUUUGUUCUCUAGGCAAUGGAGAAUCACCAGAUAAUUUUGCAUGGGGCAAUGACAUGGUUAUAUUUCCAUGUGAUGUCUUAUUUGGCUUGGAAAUCAGGUGCUGCUUCCCAGAGGAGGUAUCAGUUAACCUAGGACUGAAAGGAUGGAUUGGAUGUCACCCAGGGACGAAGCGACUGUGACAAGAUACAAGCACAGGGAUCCCAUGAGCUUGGCAGGAGUGUGUGAUCUCACUGCAUAGGUACAGACACAGCACUAAUGGAGGCUGAGCACAGAUGGCAGAACUGGAGACAAGCUCCCGGGAACCCAGGUCCCUGGGAGGUGGCCCUGGCCUGUGGGCUGGGGGAAGAAAGCUCCCAUGUUGUGAGGCAUAAAAAGGCCCACAUGUCAAAGAACUACAGCCUGCCAGCGACCACGUGACUGAGCUUGGAGGUGGAUCAUCCCUCAGGGAAGCCUUGAGAUGACAGCAGGCUGGGAGGGAUGCUCAGCCAGGACCAUGCAGCCAUGCUGCUCCGGCAUUCCUGAACCACAGAUGCUGUGAGAUGACAUUUUUUUCCCUCUACAUGUGUCAGCACUUCCCAGAUGUGAUGAUGGUAUUUGAAAGAGCAUGAUCUGGAAAUCCUGAGCCGUGCUGCCACAAGAAAAUGGAUGCACAGAGGACAAGGCCAGGCAGCGCAGGUCUUCAUUACACUGAGACUUUGCCUGAGUCCCAUGGUGCCCCAGUGCCCUGGCCUGGGCACAUCAGCACUGCCUUCUGUCCAGGCCCCAUGAGUCUCAGAUGGUGGACCCUGGUGACGGAAGGCUGGGUAGAUGCCAUGGACCUUUCCAUAGGUCAUAGCCACAGCUGAGCACUUGGUGUCUUACUACUCAGUGGAGAGGAGAAGUGUGCUGAAGGGUGGUAAGAGAGUGUGUCCAGGGGCCCAGACCAGAGUGGGCCAUGCCUCAUCUAGAGAGCAAGCAUCUUCCAGAAAGGAGAGCCCUUGGGUCCUUUUACAGAAGCAAUCAGAAAAACAUCGGGAAUCUCCCAGAAGACUGAAUGUAAGAGGACGAAGGGUCCGGGCACAGUGGCUCAUUCCUGUAAUCCCAGAACUUUGGGAGACUGAGGUGAGUGGAUCACUUGAGGUCAGGAGUUCGAGACCAGCCUGAACAACAUGGUGAAACCCCAUCUCUACUAAAAAUACAAUAUUAGCUGGGCAUAGUGGCGCAUGCCUGUAAUCCCAGCUACUCAGGAGGCUGAGGCAGGAGAAUCGCUUGAACCCAGGAGGAGGAGGUUGCAGUGAGCCGAGAUUGCAUCACCGCAUUCCAGCCUGGGCAACAAAGCAAGACUUCAUCACACACACACACACACACACACACACACACACACACACACAAACGAAACAACAACAACAACAAAACCAAAAAAAAAGAAAAAGAAAAGUCAGGUCUGGGGAGCUGAAGUGGCUGACAGAGGAGGAGGAGAAUUAUCUGCAGUGCUUCCCAAAUUCAGGACACUCACCCAGUGCAUCUCAAAGCCUGAGUCCUCAUAUCUCUUCUGGGGAAAGGAGAGAAAGAAUUGCUGGUGGAUUCUGCUGUGUUUUGCCUUGAGGUCAUUAUGGGCAAAAUUUCACACCUAUAAGGCCCAUUGCUGAGGAGGGAGUGGACCUCUGUGAUUCCUCUUGAGCAAAGGAAUAAACAUCCUAAGUUUGUGAGUAAAGCGUCCAUCACAUUCUCUGGAGCCAUCACUGCUGUUUGGAGAGGUGGGAGUUGAGAGAGGCCAUUACUGGGCAGAACCUGAGUUUUCACUUGAAGAUUCGUCCCUUAUGAAUCCAGCCCCUAGAAAACAGAGCAGCCAGCAGGCCUGUGACAUUUCAGUUUGGCUAUAAAAACUACAGGUUAAUAAUAAAACUCUUUUCUGGUUUUAAAAUUAUAUUCACGUGCAUCAGCUCACAUUUCUGAAAAAGCACUUAGGACAGCACCUGAGGCAACUUAAGCAUCAUAUAAAUGUUGGUUUUGUGGUCAUUCUUGUUUUAUAAUUAUUAUUAUUUGUAUCCUCACCCUGGUAGGCAGACAAGGCCAUAGUCAAUAUUAUAGUCGUUUUAUGGAUAAUAAAAAAUGGGAGAGGAAUUAAGUAACCUAUUUAAAUUCAUAUAAUAAACAAAUGGCAGAGCCAGGACUUGAAGCCAGGUUUUUAGGCUGCACAUCUCAGCUUUAACAAAUGACAGAACACCUGCUCUCACAUGUGGCUUUAUUUGUCACCUAACCACCCUCUUAGGCAGGUAGGCACUGGGGGCAGUGCUCAUGAGCUAGGCUUUUCAGCAAGAACCAGACAUGGAUAUGUAUUGGUUCUGUCACUUACCAGCCCUGUGACCUGGAGCUGGUUUUUUAACCUCUCUGGGCCCCACAAUUUUCACUGGUAGAUGGAGUAACAGUAGUGCUGACAUCCAGGGCUGUGGAUGAGGAUUGGGGAAGAUAUUUUGAUAUGAGUCUAGUGCUCAGCACACAAUGGCAGUGAUUAUAAUCACAAUAUGGUCAUUUUUCAGAUGAGAAAACUAGCUCAGAGAACAAAUGUGAUUUUCUAAAGAUUUGGGUUUCCUUGCUCCUAAUUCCUAGUUCCUGCCACCACUGAAAUCAGGACCGUAGAUGUUGCUCUCAGCAUGACCAUUAGUUUAGACAGCUGUAGGUAAUCAGAGCCAAGCAAUGCCCUCCCAAAUACAACAAUCACACACAGAAAAACAUGGAACCCUUCUGCAGAUGCCUUCCUUCACUAGCCCUAACCUCACUCUAGUGUCAUCUUUAUUUGGUUCAAGCCCUACCCAGUAUUUCUGUCUUCACCUGGAUUUAAAUGCUCCUGUGAUCACACAUAAGCUUUCAUGCAUCUAUGUCUCGUUUCUAUAAUCAUUACAGUGUAAGUGAACAUAUAAUAGCUGCUUCUUCAGACCACACUUCCUCUCGGCAGUGCCUACCACAAUCAUGGUAGGUAUUGACUCUAUGUCUAGUGGCCCCACCUUUCCUCUGUAGCCCAAGCCACAUAUCUUUGUUGCUUCCUUUUACUUCUUUGCUAGUCACAGUUUGUAGUUGCAGACAACAGAGUCCAUUUCCAUUUCUGAAAGAAAGAUUUUUCCUUCUUUUUUCUUCUUCUCUCUCUUUUCUUCUCACUCACAGAAUUAUUCGAAGGGUAGACAUCUGAGCUCUAGACUAAGCUCCCAGGUCCACAUGUAGAUUUGUCCCAUUCACGUCGAUGCAGUUGUCCCUGAGAUGAGAAACCACACAGCUUUUGCCGUCCCCUGUACCAGCAAAAUGGAUGCCCCCUGUCCAGCCUGUGUCCCUGCAUAGGUUACUUCUGGAUGGAAUUCUCAUACUGGUGCAUCUGGCUAGUUGAAUCAGGCACAUUUCUGCCCCCAAGCUGUGAGGGAGGCUGGGAAAUGUAGGUUUUGUUUCUGCUCUGGGAAGGCAAGGGUAACACUGAUGGAAACUAUCCACGAGUUAAUGGAGCAUUUAAAGUAUUUGGGGGACACAGAGCAAAGACAAGGUGUAUAAUCCAUCUUCAGCAUCCACAUGUAAUUGGUAAGCAAAUUUCAGCAGUUCUAAAUAUGAACACUUCUGGGAUUCAUCUACUUCUCUCUACCCCACUGCAGUCCUUUGGCUCAGUGCUUCUCACAUGGACAAUGGCAACAGCUUGUAAGUAGUCUCUCUGGCUCAGUCCCCUUUCUGCCCUAUCUCACGUAUGUUUUGUAGCCAGUGUUACUCCUUUGCUUAAAAUCCUCAAAGCUCCUGGUUGCUUUCAGAAGUGAGUUUAAACUUAUAAUUAUGGCUUUUAAAAUCCUUUGGAAUCUCAGGCCGGGGGUGGUGGCUCACGUCUGUAAUCCCAGCACUUUGGGAGGCUGAAGCGGGUGGAUCACC